GAUGAACGCUAGCGAUAGGCCUAACACAUGCAAGUCGAGGGGCAUCACAUGAAGUAGCAAUACGGAUGGUGGCGACCGGCGCACGGGUGAGUAACACGUAUGCAACCUGCCUUCAACAAGGGGAUAACCCGUUGAAAGACGGACUAAUACCCUAUAACACAGGGGUCCCGCAUGGGGAUAUUUGUUAAAGGACAACCGGUUGAAGAUGGGCAUGCGUUCCAUUAGCUAGUUGGCGGGGUAAGGGCCCACCAAGGCAACGAUGGAUAGGGGAACUGAGAGGUUUAUCCCCCACACUGGUACUGAGACACGGACCAGACUCCUACGGGAGGCAGCAGUGAGGAAUAUUGGUCAAUGGACGCAAGUCUGAACCAGCCACGUCGCGUGAAGGAAGACGGCCCUACGGGUUGUAAACUUCUUUUAUACGGGAAUAAAGUGCCCCACGCGUGGGGUUUUGCAUGUACCGUAUGAAUAAGGAUCGGCUAACUCCGUGCCAGCAGCCGCGGUAAUUACG
RNAcentral lists this ribosomal RNA (511 nucleotides) under uncultured bacterium. Its description in RNAcentral is "bacterial SSU rRNA". It matches the Rfam family "Bacterial small subunit ribosomal RNA", at positions 28 to 527 of the family's 1533-position model. The record is from RNAcentral.